This 834-nucleotide ribosomal RNA is filed under the name Microbacterium sp. WS_3LB. Its description in RNAcentral is "bacterial SSU rRNA". It matches the Rfam family "Bacterial small subunit ribosomal RNA", at positions 649 to 1477 of the family's 1533-position model. The record is from RNAcentral. Lineage: Bacteria; Bacillati; Actinomycetota; Actinomycetes; Micrococcales; Microbacteriaceae.
CGGUAGGGGAGAUUGGAAUUCCUGGUGUAGCGGUGGAAUGCGCAGAUAUCAGGAGGAACACCGAUGGCGAAGGCAGAUCUCUGGGCCGUUACUGACGCUGAGGAGCGAAAGGGUGGGGAGCAAACAGGCUUAGAUACCCUGGUAGUCCACCCCGUAAACGUUGGGAACUAGUUGUGGGGUCCUUUCCACGGAUUCCGUGACGUAGCUAACGCAUUAAGUUCCCCGCCUGGGGAGUACGGCCGCAAGGCUAAAACUCAAAGGAAUUGACGGGGACCCGCACAAGCGGCGGAGCAUGCGGAUUAAUUCGAUGCAACGCGAAGAACCUUACCAAGGCUUGACAUACACCAGAACGGGCCAGAAAUGGUCAACUCUUUGGACACUGGUGAACAGGUGGUGCAUGGUUGUCGUCAGCUCGUGUCGUGAGAUGUUGGGUUAAGUCCCGCAACGAGCGCAACCCUCGUUCUAUGUUGCCAGCACGUUAUGGUGGGAACUCAUGGGAUACUGCCGGGGUCAACUCGGAGGAAGGUGGGGAUGACGUCAAAUCAUCAUGCCCCUUAUGUCUUGGGCUUCACGCAUGCUACAAUGGCCGGUACAAUGGGCUGCGAUACCGCGAGGUGGAGCGAAUCCCAAAAAGCCGGUCCCAGUUCGGAUUGAGGUCUGCAACUCGACCUCAUGAAGUCGGAGUCGCUAGUAAUCGCAGAUCAGCAACGCUGCGGUGAAUACGUUCCCGGGUCUUGUACACACCGCCCGUCAAGUCAUGAAAGUCGGUAACACCUGAAGCCGGUGGCCUAACCCUUGUGGAGGGAGCCGUCGAAUAUAAUAUUACGUUGACCC